Sinocyclocheilus grahami is the source of this 1084-nucleotide long non-coding RNA. RefSeq lists it as uncharacterized. The record is from RefSeq and is a predicted model, not a curated record. NCBI's taxonomy places the organism in Eukaryota, Metazoa, Chordata, Actinopteri, Cypriniformes, Cyprinidae. The transcript has 3 exons.
UCCUGGAUUUCUGAAUAAGUAACAUUGUAACAUCACAGUUGACACCGUCACUGUCCAUGAUUUUCCUUUUUAGACAUCAUCAUCAUCAUCAUCACCAUCGCCAAAACCAGGAUCAAUGGCUUUCAGAAAGGCAGUGAAGGGAACCCUAAUAGGGGGCGGAGCUAUAGCAACAGCCUUCGGCCUAUCACAGUUCUUUGAAUACAGGAAGAAUCAGUGACUCCUACAGGUUAGACUGCAGAAUACACAGACCACAGCUGUUCAAACCCAUCUGUACCACAGCAUGUCUUGUCCUGAUUCAGGAAUGUUCCCUAUGUGUUCAUACAACCUUAAAGGUACCGCCUUAUUCAGGACAGUAUAACUCUGGCCCCAUAUUUUGAUCUUAAAGCAAUGAUCAAUUUAUAGCUAUUUAUAACUAUUCCUUAUUUAUAAUUCAUAAAGGUUUAUUCUUGUUUUCAUGUGGUCAACAAACGUAUGGGACAGAUUUCUUGAAUGAGUGCUACAAAUCUUAUUAAGAUUAGACUUAUAAAUCCAGAUACAUUGGAAAACCUCAUUUGCACCUUUAGGUACUGUCUCAAGUCUCCAAACUUACCCCGUUCUCUCUCUAGGGUAGACCACCGUAUUAAAAUCAGGUUUUGUUUGCUAAAGGGAGAUUACACUUGAACAGUGAUACACACAUUGUUUAAAGGAUCUCUCUUGAAUAUGUAAUCAUGAACAAUCUGAAUCCCAUUCACGCCAUCAGGGAGUGUGUCACACACCAUGUUCUGUCCGUAUUUAAACUAGUAAGAACCUCAGGGGUCUCGUCUGUUUAGAUGCUAUACCAAAUAACGGAAGGUCAAGUAGAUUAAGAUAAUCAACAAGGCUUUCUGAAACAAUUGAAGAAAAAAAGACAGACCCUUGAAGAGCAAUGGGAGUCCUGAUUUUCUCUCUCAUCAUUUAUUUAAAUCUUCCCAAGCCCAUUUUGUCCAUUAUCUUGCAUCUCAACUGUUCCAAUCCCAAUGAAACUCCAGGGAGUGAGAGAAUUGUACGCACUCAAGGACAUGGUUUCCAUGGAGAUUGUCACUACACGAUUAAUUUGUCAAAAAAA